RNAcentral lists this ribosomal RNA (148 nucleotides) under Escherichia coli. Its description in RNAcentral is "partial 16S ribosomal RNA". It matches the Rfam family "Bacterial small subunit ribosomal RNA", at positions 1 to 142 of the family's 1533-position model. The record is from RNAcentral. Lineage: Bacteria; Pseudomonadati; Pseudomonadota; Gammaproteobacteria; Enterobacterales; Enterobacteriaceae.
AAAUUGAAGAGUUUGAUCAUGGCUCAGAUUGAACGCUGGCGGCAGGCCUAACACAUGCAAGUCGAACGGUAACAGAAAUCAGCUUGCUGAUUUGCUGACGAGUGGCGGACGGGUGAGUAAUGUCUGGGAAACUGCCUGAUGGAGGGGG